This 270-nucleotide ribosomal RNA is filed under the name uncultured archaeon. RNAcentral's name for it is "partial 16S ribosomal RNA". It matches the Rfam family "Archaeal small subunit ribosomal RNA", at positions 477 to 747 of the family's 1478-position model. The record is from RNAcentral.
CUGCAGCCCGAGUGGUGAUCGAUUUUAUUGAGCCUAAAGCGUCCGUAGCCGGACUAGUAAACCCUUGGGUAAAUUGGGCAGCUUAACUGUCCAAAUUCCGAGGGGACUGCUAGUCUUGGGACCGGGAGAGGUCAGAGGUACUCAAGGGGUAGGGGCUAAAUCCUGUAAUCCUUUGGGGACCACCAGUGGCGAAGGCGUCUGACUAGAUCGGAUCCGACGGUAAGGGACGAAACCCUGGGGCGCGAACCGGAUUAGAUACCCGAGUAGUCC